AUUGAACGCUGGCGGCAGGCCUAACACAUGCAAGUCGAGCGGAUGAAGGGAGCUUGCUCCUGGAUUCAGCGGCGGACGGGCGAGUAAUGCCUAGGAAUCUGCCUGGUAGUGGGGGAUGACGUACGGACAGGGGCGCUAAUACCGCAUACGAUCUGAGUGUGAACGGGGGGGUUCAUCGGACCUAACGGUAUCAGAUGAGCCUAGGUCGGAUUAGCUAGUUGGUGGGGUAAAGGCCUACCAAGGCGACGAUCCGUAACUGGUCUGAGAGGCUGAUCAGUCACACUGGAACUGAGACACGGUCCAGACUCCUACGGGAGGCAGCAGUGGGGAAUAUUGGACAAUGGGCGAAAGCCUGAUCCAGCCAUGCCGCGUGUGUGAAGAAGGUCUUCGGAUUGUAAAGCUCUUUAAGUUGGGAGGAAGGGCAGUAAGUUAAUACCUUGCUGUUUUGACGGUACCAACAGAAUAAGCACCGGCUAACUUCGUG
This 484-nucleotide ribosomal RNA is filed under the name uncultured bacterium. RNAcentral's name for it is "partial 16S ribosomal RNA". It matches the Rfam family "Bacterial small subunit ribosomal RNA", at positions 30 to 507 of the family's 1533-position model. The record is from RNAcentral.